CCUACGGGCGGCUGCAGUGGGGAAUAUUGGGCAAUGGGCGCAAGCCUGACCCAGCAACGCCGCGUGAAGGAAGAAGGCUUUCGGGUUGUAAACUUCUUUUCUGAGGGACGAAGAAAGUGACGGUACCUCCGGAAUAAGCCACGGCUAAGUACGUGCCAGCAGCCGCGGUAAUACGGAGGUGGCAAGCGUUAUCCGGAUGUAUUGGGUUUAAAGGGCGUGUAGGCGGGAAAGCAAGUCAGAUGUGAAAACUCAGGGCUCAACCCUGAGCCUGCAUUUGAAACUGUUUUUCUUGAGUGCUGGGGAGGCAAUCGGAAUUCCGUGGGUAGCGGUGAAAUGCGUAGAUAUACGGAGGAACACCAGUGGCGAAGGCGGAUUGCUGGACAGUAACUGACGCUGAGGCGCGAAAGCGUGGGGAGCAAACAGGAUUAGAUACCCUAGUAGUC
RNAcentral lists this ribosomal RNA (443 nucleotides) under uncultured bacterium. RNAcentral's name for it is "partial 16S ribosomal RNA". It matches the Rfam family "Bacterial small subunit ribosomal RNA", at positions 338 to 795 of the family's 1533-position model. The record is from RNAcentral.